Odocoileus virginianus texanus is the source of this 359-nucleotide long non-coding RNA. RefSeq lists it as uncharacterized. Lineage: Eukaryota; Metazoa; Chordata; Mammalia; Artiodactyla; Cervidae. The record is from RefSeq and is a predicted model, not a curated record.
AAACUGGAAUGUCUGAGAAUUCGAAUGUGCUGUCAACAUUCUGACAAGUCACAAAGGGCUGUUGCAGCAGUUCUUAGGAAUCAAGCAACUGCAACCUGACUGGGUGGCAGGGGAAAUGCCUUGGCCAACUAGCUGCAUUUUAAGUUCCCUGGGUUCCAGUAGCUGCUUGUUCUCUUCACCAGUGUCAAGGCAAAAGAAGCUUCCCAGGUCUCAAUCUCAAGAAGUGCAGUGUUUCUCCUACAUAAAGAGAACAGCUUACAUCAUGCCACCUCACCUCUUUUCAAUGCCUAAAAGGCUACGGGACAAAUUUUGAGCCUAAUUCUACCCAGCAAAUAAAAACUUCAUGAAGUUUAUUGUUA